UACGGAGGAUCCUAGUGUUAUCCGGAUUUAUUGGGUUUAAAGGGAGCGUAGGCGGGAGGUCAAGUCAGCUGUGAAAUGUAUCUGCUUAACGGGUACACUGCAGUUGAAACUGGUUUUCUUGAGUGCGUAAGAGGCAGGCGGAAAUCGUUGUGUAGCGGUGAAAUGCUUAGAUAUGACGAGGAACUCCUAUUGCGAAGGCAGCUUGCUGGGUCGUUACUGACGCUGAUGCUCGAAGGUGCGGGGAUCAAACAGGAUUAGAUACCCUGGUAGUCCGCACAGUAAACUAUGGAUACUCUCUGCCAGCGAUACAUUGUCGGUGGCCAAGCGAAAGCGUUAAGUAUCCCACCUGGGGAGUACGUUCGCAAGAAUGAA
RNAcentral lists this ribosomal RNA (372 nucleotides) under uncultured bacterium. RNAcentral's name for it is "bacterial SSU rRNA". It matches the Rfam family "Bacterial small subunit ribosomal RNA", at positions 524 to 898 of the family's 1533-position model. The record is from RNAcentral.